UUGUAAAGCACUUUCAGUGGGGAGGAGGGUUAUUUGGUUAAGAGCUGAGUAACUGGACGUUACCCACAGAAGAAGCACCCGGCUAACUCCGUGC
RNAcentral lists this ribosomal RNA (94 nucleotides) under uncultured bacterium. Its description in RNAcentral is "partial 16S ribosomal RNA". The record is from RNAcentral.